AAGGAUCAUUACCGAGUUGAUUCGGGCUCCGGCCCGAUCCUCCCACCCUUUGUGUACCUACCUCUGUUGCUUUGGCGGGCCGCGGUCCUCCGCGGCCGCCCCCCUCCCCGGGGGGGUGGCCAGCGCCCGCCAGAGGACCAUCAAACUCCAGUCAGUAAACGAUGCAGUCUGAAAAACAUUUAAUAAACUAAAACUUUCAACAACGGAUCUCUUGGUUCUGGCAUCGAUGAAGAACGCAGCGAAAUGCGAUAAGUAAUGUGAAUUGCAGAAUUCAGUGAAUCAUCGAAUCUUUGAACGCACAUUGCGCCCUUUGGUAUUCCGAAGGGCAUGCCUGUUCGAGUGUCAUUACAACCCUCAAGCUCUGCUUGGUAUUGGGCACCGUCCUUUGCGGGCGCGCCUCAAAGACCUCGGCGGUGGCGUCUUGCCUCAAGCGUAGUAGAACAUACAUCUCGCUUCGGAGCGCAGGGCGUCGCCCGCCGGACGAACCUUCUGAACUUUUCUCAAGGUUGACCUCGGAUCAGGUAGGGAUACCCGCUGAACUUAA
RNAcentral lists this ribosomal RNA (544 nucleotides) under Botryosphaeria dothidea. RNAcentral's name for it is "eukaryotic LSU rRNA". The stretch from base 192 to 345 matches the Rfam family "5.8S ribosomal RNA". The record is from RNAcentral. Lineage: Eukaryota; Fungi; Ascomycota; Dothideomycetes; Botryosphaeriales; Botryosphaeriaceae.